Molecule: long non-coding RNA, 521 nt
Organism: Stegostoma tigrinum
Lineage: Eukaryota; Metazoa; Chordata; Chondrichthyes; Orectolobiformes; Stegostomatidae
Exons: 3
Source: RefSeq, a predicted model, not a curated record
UAUAUCAGCAAGGCGGCUAAACCCGAGGCUCUACAACUGUAGUGUCUCCCACCCGCCCUCCUCCUCUAACCUAGUUAAUAAGGCACUCAGACAUGAACUAAUGGAUAAGGAGGAGACAAUCAUAACUGCUUUGGAUUCAGCCCAUAGAAGGGCCAGAGGAGUCGCGCUGACACCUUCAUGUUUAAACAGAGGACACUUUUCUGCGUGCCACUAGAUGUAUAUCAGCCAUACCAAAAUGCUGCCUUUGCCUGAGACAGGGAAGAUGAAAUGACUUUGGGGAAAUGGAGAAUCAUUCAUGAAUCCAGUUACUUUCUGAUCUGACAGCUUUGUGGCAUCUGAAUGGAUAACAAUUUGAUCUGGUAAUCUCAAUUGAUAGAGUGCAAAUGUGUAGUGAUGCAUUUUGGGAGCUCUGGUAAGUGAAAGAUGUUCACAAUGACUAGUAGAUCCCUAGAGAGCACUGAGAAACAAAGGGACCUUGAUGUCCAAAAGCAAGAGUUCAUGCCCUCUGCUUCUGGCCUUUC